Molecule: ribosomal RNA, 468 nt
Filed under: uncultured bacterium
Lineage: Bacteria
Description: partial 16S ribosomal RNA
Rfam family: Bacterial small subunit ribosomal RNA
Source: RNAcentral
GACGAACGCUGGCGGCGUGCUUAACACAUGCAAGUCGAACGGAAAGGCCCUGCUUUUGUGGGGUGCUCGAGUGGCGAACGGGUGGGUAACACGUGAGUAACCUGCCCUUGACUUUGGGAUAACUUCAGGAAACUGGGGCUAAUACCGGAUAGGAGCUCCUGCUGCAUGGUGGGGGUUGGAAAGUUUCGGCGGUUGGGGAUGGACUCGCGGCUUAUCAGCUUGUUGGUGGGGUAGUGGCUUACCAAGGCUUUGACGGGUAGCCGGCCUGAGAGGGUGACCGGCCACAUUGGGACUGAGAUACGGCCCAGACUCCUACGGGAGGCAGCAGUGGGGAAUAUUGCACAAUGGGCGGAAGCCUGAUGCAGCAACGCCGCGUGCGGGAUGACGGCCUUCGGGUUGUAAACCGCUUUCGCCUGUGACGAAGCGUGAGUGACGGUAAUGGGUAAAGAGGCACCGGCUAACUACGUG